UCACAUCCUUUCCCUCUCAGCCGCCACUCUCUCCUCAUGCUUCCCCAUUUUCUUCUUCAAUCAUCUUUACAUCAUUGCCUCUCUCUUCCCAAUUAUAUUAACAUCUCUAUAUUUUAAGGUUUCUGAAUCUCCUUAUAUCUUUUUGACUUAAAUUUUACGGGUUAUCCUAAUAGUCUUUUUUUAAAAUUUUAUGUCUUAUAUUAUAUAAGCAUUGCGCGGGAGCCUGAAAAUUACAAGGUUGUAAUGUUGGGAUGAAGACCCCUUAAGAAUACACGUUUAUGUACUUGUUUUGUUGCUUUGAAUAUUUCUAUUUUCUUAUUUAUUAAAAAUUCUUGUAAAAAAUUUAUCCAGA
Molecule: long non-coding RNA, 352 nt
Filed under: Nicotiana benthamiana
Lineage: Eukaryota; Viridiplantae; Streptophyta; Magnoliopsida; Solanales; Solanaceae
Description: long non-coding RNA (NBEN_LNC006979)
Source: RNAcentral